This 1370-nucleotide ribosomal RNA is filed under the name human gut metagenome. RNAcentral's name for it is "bacterial LSU rRNA". It matches the Rfam family "Bacterial large subunit ribosomal RNA", at positions 915 to 2312 of the family's 2925-position model. The record is from RNAcentral.
UGGAUGCGGGGGCUUCACCGCCUACCAAAUCCUGACAAACUCCGAAUGCCAGUAGAAUGAUUUAGAGCAGUGAGCGGCUGGGUGCUAAUGUCCGGCCACGAGAGAGGAACAACUCAGACCAGCAGCUAAGGCCCCGAAGAGUAUACUAAGUUGAACUAACGAUGUGCGACUGCAGCGACAGCUAGGAUGUUAGCUUGGAAGCAGCUAUUCAUUUAAAGAGUGCGUAACAGCUCACUAGUCGAGCGGUUGUGCGUGGAUAAUAAACGGGCAUCAAGUAUACCGCCGAAGCUCUGGGAUCUACGGAUCGGUAGGGGAGCAUUCCAUUCGCGUCGAAGUUGUAGCGUGAGCUAUGGUGGAGCGUAUGGAAAAGCAAAUGUAGGCAUAAGUAACGAUAAGGCGGGCGAGAAACCCGCCCACCGCAAGACCAAGGUUUCCUGAUCAACGUUAAUCGGAUCAGGGUUAGUCGGGACCUAAGGAUAAGCCGAAAGGUGAUUUCGAUGGACAAUCGGUUAAUAUUCCGAUACUGAUAUGGACUGCGACGGAGAGACGAAGGGGCGUAAGCCACGCCAACUGACGGAAUAGUUGGUUAAAGGAUGUAGGUAAAUCGGGAGGUUAAGAGCUUUCUGAUGCUGAAAUCCGACAGUACCGCAAGCCUACGGGUGAGCGGAUAGUUGGCCCAAGCGGACUUCCGAGAAAAACUUCUAAGCUUCAGGUUCAUAUCACCCGUACCGUAAACCGACACAGGUGGUCGAGGAGAGUAUCCUAAGGUGCUCGAGUGAUUCACGGUUAAGGAACUAGGCAAAUUAACCCCGUAACUUCGGAAUAAGGGGUCCCAUUGAGAGAUGGGCGCAGCGAAGAGGUCCAGGCGACUGUUUAGCAAAAACACAGGGCUCUGCAAAUUCGAAAGAAGACGUAUAGGGCCUGACACCUGCCCGGUGCUGGAAGGUUAAGAGGGGAUGUCAUCGCAAGAGAAGCAUUGAAUCGAAGCCCCAGUAAACGGCGGCCGUAACUAUAACGGUCCUAAGGUAGCGAAAUUCCUUGUCGGGUAAGUUCCGACCUGCACGAAUGGUGUAACGAUCUGGACACUGUCUCAACCGUGAGCUCGGUGAAAUUGUAGUCCCGGUGAAGAUGCCGGGUACCCGCAACGGGACGAAAAGACCCCGUGAACCUUUACUGCAGCUUAACGCUGAAUUUGGGUAUACGAUGUGUAGGAUAGGCAGGAGACAAUGAAGCGGGUACGCCAGUAUUCGUGGAGUCAACGUUGAAAUACUGCCCUUUGUGUAUUUGAGUUCUAACCCUGCGAAGGGGACACCGUUUGGUGGGUAGUUUGACUGGGGUGGUCGCCUCCAAAAGCGUAACGGAGGCUUCUA